Molecule: long non-coding RNA, 2329 nt
Organism: Heterocephalus glaber (naked mole-rat)
Lineage: Eukaryota; Metazoa; Chordata; Mammalia; Rodentia; Bathyergidae
Source: Ensembl
GUGGGGCUUCUGGGAGGUGACUGGAGCACGGGAGUAUAAUACUGGAUUUGUCCACUGAUAGGUUUAUAGCUGGGUGUGAUGUUAGCUGGUGAAGCCUGGUGGAAGAGGUGGCUCAUUGUGUGAGUGGCCUGGAAUGGAAUACAUCCCUCCUCUUCCCUUGAUGGCUGCUGCUUCCCACCUGCCAUGCCCCUCUGCCAUGCUGCCCUACCCUGGAGCCAACUGACUAUGAACUGAAACUUUUACAAACUGUGAGUUAAAAUAAAUCUCUCCUCCUUUAACUUGUGGGUGUUAGGUAUUUUGUCCCAGUAAUGAGCAAGUAACUAAGACAGGCUGUAAGGGACAGUUAGUUCCAUGUCUGCCUCUAAGGUUCUGGUGGCUGCUGCCAGUUCUUGGCAUUCUUUGGUUUACAGAUGGAUCCUGAACUCUGUCUGUUAUCACAUGAUCUUCCCUUGGUGUGUCUGUGUCUGUUUCCAAAUUUCUCUUUCCUUGCUCUUAUAGAGACACCAAUUGUUAGAUUUAGGGCCCAACCUAAACCAGUAUGACCUCAUCUCAACUUGUUUGUAUCUGCAAAGACUUUAUUUCAGAAAAUGUUGAAUUCACCUGUACUGAGCUAUGUGUAUGUAUGUGUGUGUGUUCCUGGAGAUUGAACCCAGGACCUACACACUUAGUUACAUCCCUAGUCCAUCUUUAAUUUUUUUUAAAUUUAAGACAAGAUCUCGCUAAAUUGCCCAAGUUGGUCUCAAAUUUAUAAUCCUCCUGCCUCAGCCUCCCAGAGUGCUGGAAUUACAGGCAUGUGCCACCUUGCCCAGUGAGGGUUAGGUUUUGUACAUAUGUUUUUGGAGGACACAAUCAACUCACUCUAGGACUUUAUCAAAAAGCCCUGACAGAUGUAAGAGGAUGAAGUUAUACCUCCCCUGGUCAUUCUGCACCCAGAGUACCCCAAAGUUUCCAGUUCUCCUGUUUCCCACAACCAGAGUGCAGACUCUCUGACUGCCUGGAUGUCCAGCGUAUUCUGACAGAUUGCUCUGGACUGCCAAGUACUAAUAAGAAGCAAUAACUGAAUCAACAAGUUAUUUUUACAAGAAAUAGAAAACGUGCUGUCAGCACUUCCUGUGAACCAAAGCUCCCUGGAAGGAUACCAAGUUUGAGAGUAAUGACCAGGUCAUCCUGGCUGGUCCAGGCUCUCUCUGGCUCUUGGGAGAGGCACAGGUGGGCUGUGGACCUGGUGUGCCCUUCUCCACCUUUGCAUUGCCUCUGACCAGGGUUAUUAGGCCAGGGUUAUUACAGUGCACCGGCCCAAGGCCCCAGGACACCGGAGGCUCAAAGAUCCUGAGCUGAGGGUCUGUGCUGCUGUGCCUUGGGCAGGGAGAACUUUCUCACUCACUGCUGCAUUAGCUCACAGGGCGUGAGCAGUGCGGGGCUCGGGGAAGGGAAGCCUCUGGCCUGGCCAGGCAGUUUCCCACUGUACCUGGCCCCAGCUCCUGGCCAAGUAACACAGGCUCAUAUAUAUGCUGCUGCCAUUCUUGAAGCCUGGGUCCUGGUGCUUAAAGCCUGAAAAUAAACACCCAUUUCCCUUGAGGGCAUUUGGAUCUAAUCUAUUUGUAUUGUGCAGAUUGUUUGCAUUCCUUCGUGUCUGAACUAGUGAAGGCUGACGUUGGCUUCUCAGUUCUUUUCCUGUUCAGGGAUGGAGUUGCCCCUGAAGCCUGAACUGAGCCUCCAGCAAUCUUAACCAAGCAGAUCAGGCCGCUGGCAGGUGAGGAGAGGAGAUAGUACUGGUGGAGGUUCUUUUAGGGCCUGGGAAAGGAGAGCUUGUGUGGGAGACAUUGAAGAAAAGUCUAUAUGACAAGAUUGCCAUCGUGAUCGAGUUCUAUGUUGUGCUAAUUCACCUGGAAAAUUUUAAAAUACAUUUAUUGUACGUUCUUCUCUUUAGGUUAGAAGGAAAUAACUGGAAUUCAGGUACUGAUGGACUUUCCUUAAUGUGCUGCCCAAAUAUUGUGGUAAAUACUGCAUGAGAUGCUGGGGAUCAAAGCCAAGACCUCAUACAUGCUUGGGCUCAGGAUGCAUGUGAUGACACUUCACGUUACGAAAUAGAAAACCAAGUGACUCUGUUUCAUGAUCCAUAAACCCCCUAACAAAAUCCCUCAGACACCAGGGAAAAAGCCGCCUUUGUGGUUCUAUUUUUAAUCUCUCUAUUUUUUAAUUCUCCUCAUUUCACCUUUAAAACUUCUCCUUGCUUCAAAUUUUUGAAUAUGCUCAAUUUACAAUGGCACUUGUAUUGCUAUUGCAAUGCCCUGCUAUUCCUAAAUAAAUAUAAUUAAUCCUUAGAGAA